AAGGCGAGGUAAGAGCUCACCGGCGUGCGGGGAACCGCAUUGCCCUGCAAACCCUAUCCGGAGCAACACCGACCGGAGAGGAGCGAAAGCUCCGCGCUUGCUCGGCGUAAUUCUCUCCGACAGGUGGCUUGAGCGUAUCGGCAACGGUGCGCCUAGACAGAUAGUUGCCUUAAAAGACAAAACUCGGCUUACAGGCCUGCUCGCUUA
RNAcentral lists this RNase P RNA (207 nucleotides) under Oscillospiraceae bacterium. RNAcentral's name for it is "partial RNase P RNA component class A". It matches the Rfam family "Bacterial RNase P class A", at positions 159 to 367 of the family's 367-position model. From Rfam's summary of the family: Ribonuclease P (RNase P) is a ubiquitous endoribonuclease, found in archaea, bacteria and eukarya as well as chloroplasts and mitochondria. Lineage: Bacteria; Bacillati; Bacillota; Clostridia; Eubacteriales; Oscillospiraceae. The record is from RNAcentral.